RNAcentral lists this long non-coding RNA (22304 nucleotides) under Nicotiana benthamiana. Its description in RNAcentral is "long non-coding RNA (NBEN_LNC016923)". Lineage: Eukaryota; Viridiplantae; Streptophyta; Magnoliopsida; Solanales; Solanaceae. The record is from RNAcentral.
AGCUAUUCAACCGGCCAGGUCUACAAAUUGAAAAACUCAGACUUAACAACUCGAUACAAAAUGAUCGACCGACUAGGUCGAAGGAAUAAAAAUCAGAACUAACGAACAAAUAAACAAAAAGGUCGACCGGAUAGGUCGAAGGACUGAAUGCUCAAACAUAAAAAAAAUCCAUACAAAAUAAUCGAUCGGCUAGGUCGAAGAACAAAAAAUCAGAAUCAACAGGUGAUAACAAACUACUCGACCGGCUAGGUCGAAGAACUGAAAUUCACGUUUAUAAAGUCGAAAUGUAAUUAAAAUAAUAACCAUUGCACAUAAAUAACAAAAUAUUAACAGAAACUAAACCUUAGAACUAAUACUAAAACAAAAGCCAAAAAAUAAAAAUAAAAAUAAAAAUCAGAAAAGAUAAAAUAGAGAAAGAAAAUUGGUGUUUUACCGUACAUAGGGAUUUGAUGCAAAAUCGAGCGACAAGACGGAUGCCGAGGGCGACGAAUGGUGGUGCCCGACCCCGAGGCAAAUGUUUCUUUUCAGCAGACGCUAAGUCAAUAGACUCCGGCGUUCUGCCAAAAGGAAACAAAUUCCUUUGGGUCGAAAGAAGUAAGAAAAAUUAUAGAAUAGGAGAAGAAGCGGCGGCAGGCAGUGGGGCUCGCCGGCGGUAGUGUCACGGCGGUGGGGGGUGGUUGCUGGCGGUGGUGAGGUGUUUCGGGAUCAAGACUAAUAUAGGAUGAUAGAUCGCGUGGAGGCCUACACGUCUAUGUAAUUAUUUCAUAAAAAAGGGGUCUAAAAUCCGAUGAAUUUAAAAAAUAAAGUGAGCUAGGGUUUUGGAUUUUGGUUUAUUCGUGGAAUUUGGGAAGGGUUAUGGGAUUUUGGGGUUCGGAUUCAUGGAGAGGAGGUUGAAUGGAAGAAGUAGUGAAAUUUUGGGGUGAUUUGGUGGUGGACCGCCGCCGGUGGGCAAUUUCCGGCGGCGGAGAUGGGCGGCGGUGAUGGAUAAGAGAAGGAGAGAAAAACGAUGACUAGGGUUUGGUCUUUUGGGAAAAUGAUUCAAAAAAAUCUGAUUUUUUGAAUCUUUUGUAUGAGAAAUGAAUUGAUUAUGGGCCAUUGGAUCAAGGAUAAUGGAAGGAUGAGAUGUGAUCUUGAAUACUUAUCCCAAAACGACGUAGUUUCGAUAUAAAAGUACGUCGUUUCAACACUCCUAUGGCAGCCCCCAAUUGGAAUGGAUUUGGGGACUUUGGGCUUCUAAUUUUGGGCCAAUUUUGGCUAAAUUUCAAUUAAAAUAUACUAAGCCCAACCCCCUACUCCCUAAUUAUCUUAAUUAAUCCAAAAGAAAAUACAACAAGUAAAAAGAAAAAAUAUUUUUGGAAUGUAUGAUUUAAAGAUUAAAUUAAAAUAUACAAGUAAAAGGUAAGUGUAUAUAUAUAUAUAUACAUAUAUAUAUAUAUAGAUAUAUACAGGUUGCACGCCCAGUAGUAUAUACAUAUACAUGUAUUGGAUCAGGAUGCACGGUGCAGCAUCAUAUAUUAUAUUGGAUUGGGCUGCACGCCGAAGCAUUAUAUAUAUUAUAUUGGAUCAGGCUGCACGCCGCAACAUUAUAUACAUAUAUUGGAUCGAGCUGCACGCCGCAACAUUACAUACUUUAUAUUGGAUCAGGAUGCACACCGCAGCAUUAUAUACUUAUAUUUGAUCGCGCUGCACGCUGCAGCAAUAUAUUAUAUGGAUCGGGCUGCAAGCCGAAGCAAUAUAUUAUAUAGAUCGGAUUGCACGCAGCAGAAUUAUUACGCUUGGGUUGAAGGAGCCCCUACGGAGUCUGCACACACUCCCAGUAAACGGAGUUAUAUAUUAUAUUGGAUCGAGUUGCACGCUGCAGCAUUAUAUACAUAUAUUGGAUCGGGCUGCAUGUCGCACCAUUAUAUAUACUAUAUUGGAUCAGUCUACACGCUGCAGUAUUAUAUAUAUUAUAUUGGAUCGGGCUGUGCGCCGCAUCAUUAUAUAUAUAUAUAUAUAUAUAUAUAUAUAUAUUUGGUAUUUUUAAUAAAGGAAGGAAAAUAAAAAUUCACAAAUCACUUCAAAUCGUCCUAAAAUUAGUAUUUGUAAGAGAACUAGAAGCGAGCAAAAAUUAUGUAAUCACAGUUGCCCCUCUUUGCUCGAGAACAUGAAGAGUUUUUGUGCAAAGAAAAGUGAACGCCAUGGCUAAUUUUUUCUCACAUUUACUCUAAUGGAAGCAUUUUGAAAAAGGUGGUGACCGGACCUUGCCUCUGAGGUUGCCUACAUAUCCUUGACGAUAAAGGAAUCAGGUAAGUGCAGUUCUGGACAGAUUUGGUAGCUGGGACUACCGGGCACUGGAGUUAAGACUGUUGUUGUUGUUGUGUUGCUGUUGCUGCUACUCGCUUCUUACAUCAAAAGAAAAAGAGAAAAGCAGUGCAUCUGUCUGCAAACUAAGAGUAUAAAAUUCCUAUCUACGUGUCUUCUGGAGUCAAAUCUUGAUUCUUGACUUGCUCGCUUGUUUUGACCUUAGAUUGGAUCUUGGUUCUCUUUGCAGAAAAUGUUAUGACUCAAUCUCGAUUGCUUGCUUUCUGGAUCGAAAUUUGAGAAGACGAAUCUUGAGAAACCAGGUUGUUGAUACAUUAUCAAAGAUGACUCCGACUAUCUUGUGAUCGAAGCUUCUUUCUUCUGAUGAGAAACUGAAACUGCAAGUUUUAAAUCAUUGCUUGUGUUGUAUGACAAGGCCUGCAAAGCCAUCAAAGACAAACAAAACAAACAAAAGUUUUAAAACUGCAAGUUUUAAAUCGUUGCUUGUGUUGUACGACAAGGCUUGCAAAGCCACCAAAGACAAACAAAACAAAUGAAAUUUUUCUGCCCCAGUCUGGUACUGGGAAUAUUUGUGAGUUAUUAGAGAAAUUUGUAAAUUAUCUAAUUUAUUAAAAAGGAAGAUAGGGACAGUAGUAUAAACUAGUUAAAAUAAACAAAAUUUUGAUAGCAAAUGAUUGUGUAACUAAGUAUUGAACAACCUGAGCGAAGCUUACCUCUAUCCGGAGCUAUGAGCUGGAUCCCCCUAGGCGAAAUGAUUCUACAUUAGUUAAGCUAUUUUAAAACACCAUGAGCGAAGACUACUUCUACCCAGAACAAUGAGUUGUAUCCCCCUAGGUGAAAUGAUUUUACCCGAGUUAAGAUGUUGUAAAACAUCCCGAGCGAAGACUACUUCUACCAGGAACUAUGAGCCGGAUACCCCUAGGCAAAAUGAUUCUACCUGAGUUAAGCUGUUGUAAAACAUGCUGAGCGAAGACUACUUCUACCCGGAACUAUGAGCUGAAUCCCCCUAGGCGAAAUGAUUCUACCUGAGUUAAGCUGUUGCAAAACAUCCUGAGCGAAGAGUACUUCUACCCGGAACUAUGAGCUGGAUCCCCCUAGGCGAAAUGAUUCUACCUGAGUUAAGCUGUUGUAAAACAUCCUGAGCGAAGACUACUUCUACCCGGAACUAUGAGCUGGAUCCCCCUAGGCGAGACGAUUCUACUUGAGUUAAGCUGCAGAAAACAACCCGAGCGAAGAGUACUUCUACCCGGAACUAUGAGCUCGAUCCCUCUAGGCGAAAUGAUUCUACCUGAGUUAAGCUGUUGUAAAACAUCUUGAGUGAACACUACUUCUACCCGGAACUAUGAGCUGGAUCCCCCUAGGCGAGACGAUUCUACCUGAGUUAAGCUGCGCAAAACAACUUGAGCGAAGACUACUUCUACCUGGAACUAUGAUCUAGAUCCCCCUUAGGCGAAAUGAUUCUACCUGAGUUAAGCUACGUAAACAACCUGAGCGAAGAGUACUUCUACCCAGAACUAUGGGCUGGAUCCCCCUAGGCAAAAUGAUUCUACCUGAGUUAAGUUGUUGUAAAACAUCCUGAGCGAAGACUACUUGUACCCGGAACUACGAGUUGGAUCCCCCUAGGCGAGAAGAUUCUACCUGAAUUAAGCCGCGUAAAACAACCUGAGCAAAGAGUACUUCUACUCGGAACAUGAGCUGGAUCCCCCUAAGCGAAAUGAUUCUACCUGAGUUGAGCUAUAAAAUGGGAGGUGUGAACAAUAGCGAUGCAUGCUAAAAAAGAAACAAUGGAGAUUUUAAAGAGCUUACAUUUGGUGACAUUUGUUUUUUUAGAAUUGCCAAUCUGCACUGCUUUGUUCCUUCUUCAAACAAAGAAAAAUUUAUGAGUUUUCAAAGUGGUGGUUGGUUUGUGGCCUUGAUCCCUUGAUGCCUUGUUAGUUUGAUUAACGACCACUGCUGUCGAAGAACCAAUUCUGUUAGCGUUGUACCGGGAUGCUUGUGGCCUGGAUCCCUUGACACCUUGUUAGUUUGAUUCACGACCACGCUGUCGAAGAACUGAUCCCAUCACCGCAGUACCAGGAUGCUCGGUUACUCUGUAUCAUUCUCCGUAGACCUUGGCUUUCCAAUGUUGCCCCCGCUGUUUCAUACCCAGAUAUCCAUGGUACCACCACCCUUGUCUCUAAGGCAAAACUAUUUUCUUUAAAAUCAAACUCAAUCGUCUUGCACCUAGUAUCAGUUUGUGUCCAUAGUGCUUAUCAACUUUUCUCACGAAGCAGUUCCCGCUCAUGCGACUUUCAAGUUUCUUUGAAAUACUUUGUACUUCUAAAGCAAACAAUAGUAAGACAAACUCAAUCGUAUCGCACCCAGUAUCAGUUUGUGUCCAUACUGCUUAUCAACUUUUCUCACAAAGCAGGUCCAACUCAUGCGACUUUCACAUUUCUUUGAAACACUAUAUUCAUCUUACUGAAUGAGAUCACAGAUAGAUUCGUGCCUUCGUCAAUGCCAUAUAUGCCCCAAAUUGUGCUCGACAUUGCGGGUAUAGCUGGUUUUGUAGCCAUUUCUUUGCUUCGCUUUUGAUGCAGGAUUCGACCGAAAGGGGCUCAAAAGAAAAUCGUGGGUAAGACAAAAUAAUAACAGAAAUUGAAAUAGAACUGUGCUAAAGCAAAAGGUGUCCCUUUCGGGGAAAGGAAACAGGGAGACUUAUCUAAAGUCAUGUGCCGACUUCAACGAAUCAUGUCAUGCAUUUUGGAAUGGAUGCUUGAUCCGUUUAAACUUUCUAAUUCUCAAAAUCCGCCGCAAAUGUUUAUCUUGAAUUUCUCUUGGUUUUAUUCAUGCCGGUGAAUCAAAAGGCCUCAUUCGGCUAGUAGCGCCCUUUGCAGGUUUUCGCUAACUAACCUAUCUCAUUUCUACUGACCGUCUCCUUAUGGUGCCCAUAUGGGGUUUUGACCAAUAAGACUCUCUCAUUUCUCUUCUCGUUGUCUCUUUAUAGUGCCCCCACGAGUUUUCACUGAUAAGGGUCUCUCAUUUCUUUUCUUUUUUUUUUUGUUUUUUUGUUUUUUUACUAAGAUACGGCAUGAGGGAGUUUACCUAAUGUCCUUUGUCAUGGGGACUUCAAACAUCCUCAAAAAGUAGCGAUAAGAAGUUGUUGAAAGAUAAAAAAGUGAACUGAACCUUGAACUGAAUUAAACCUUUCGGAACCAUUUUUUACAGAAAACCGUGAAAUAAAACAAACUUCUGCCCCAGUUUUGGAAUAUUGGGAAUAUGGAUUUUUUUAUUCUGAUGGGACCGAACCUAUGGUAAGGCUGCCUACGUAUCCUUUCGGAAUCAGGUCAGACGUAGUUCAAUUGGUAUGAGAUUUGUUGCUUGGAUUAUUUUUUUUCUUCUUUCAGAAUCAGGUCAGACGUAGUUCAAUGGUAUGAGAUUUGUUUCUUGGCUUCUUUUUCUUACAAGUACAUAGGUUUCAAAAAAAUGAGAAACAAGGAAAACAAAUACAAGCUCAAAAGGACUAAUGGUAGGGGACAUCUUUUUGGAAGAACGAGCAAAUGAUAGUGUUCGUCGCUUCAAUAUGAGAAAAUCAAUGCGCGAAAACUCUACAGUGGGCAUAUAUCAUACAUAAUAUCUUUUGACUGCAUUUGCAUUAAUAAUCAUGUCUGAUACACGUCCUUCUUCAUCUACCAAGUUCAAGGCCCCUUUUGGUAACACUUUCUUGAUGAUGUAGGGCCCUUGCCAGUUUGGGGAGAACUUUCCUUUAGCUUCUACCUGGUGCGGAAGGAUGCGUUUCAAAACCAGCUGGCCUACCUCAAAGUGCCUCGGGCACUUUCUUAUUGUAUAUGCGUGCCAUUCUUUGUUAGCUGGCCUACCUCAAACUGCCUCGAGCGCACUUUCUUAUUGUAAGCGCGUGCCAUUUUUUGUUGGUAUAACUGGCUGAAACACACUGCUGCUAGCCAUUUUUCAUCGAUCAGCAUCAGUUGUUCUAAUCGAGUCUUGACCCACUCAGUGUCUUCAAUCUCUGAUUUCGAAAUAAUUCUGAGAGAGGGAAUUUUGACUUCCGCGGGUAUUACGGCUUCAGUUCUACACACAAGCAGUUACGGAGUCGCACCCACAUAUGUGCAAAUAGUCGUGCGGUAUCCCAAAAGAGCGAAAGGCAACUUUUCAUACCAUUGCCUAGAACCUUAGAUCAUCUUCCUAAAAAUCUUCUUGAUGUUCUUUUUCACCGCUUCAAUGGCUCCAUUGGCUUUUUGCCGGUAAGGGGUAGAAUGGCGAUGCAUGACUUUAAAUUGUUCACAUACCUCUUUCAUUAAGUGACUAUUUAGAUUGGCUGCACUAUUAGUGAUGAUGGUUUUUGGGAAACCAAUGCGAUAGAUGAUGUUGGAAUGAACAAAGUCUACCACUGCUUUCUUGGUGACUGCUCUGAAAGUGACGGCCUCCUCCCACUUGGUAAAGUAAUCAAUCGCAACCAAAAUGAAUCUAUGCCCAUUUGAAGCCUUUGGCUCGAUCAGCCCAAUAACAUUAUUCCCCAAGCAACGAAAGGCCAAUGGGAGGACAUGGCAUGCAUCUAUGAAGGAGGCGAGUGAAUCAAGUCACCAUGAAACUGGCAGUGAUGACACUUGCAAACAAAUUGAAGCAAUCUCGCUCCAUAGUAAGCCAGUAUUACCAUGCCCGCAAAAUCUUCUUCGCCAAAACAUAUCCAUUCAUGUGAGGGCCGCAUACCCCUGAAUGUACUUCACUCAUGAUCCGCUCUUCUUGUGUAACAUCUAUGCGUCUCAGCAAGUUUAACUCCGGGGUCCUCUUGUAUAGAAUUUCCCCAUUCAAAAAGAAACCACUGGCGAGCCGCCUUAUAGUUCUUUUUUAUCUCCUUUAGCAUGUUCUGGAUAUUCUCUUGUUUUCAGGAAUCGUUUUAUGUCAUGAUACCGUGGUUCACCAUCUAGUUCUGUCUCAAUUGUAUUGCAGUAACCGUGGUGAUUUUGAUCUUGGAUUUCUAAUGGCUCAAUGUGAGUGUUGCUUGGAUAAGGGAGCAUCGAGGCUAAAGUAACCAAGGCAUCGGCUAGCUCGUUGUGAAACCUGGGAAUGUACCUGAACUCGAUGGAUUUGAAUCUUUUGCUCAAGUCAUACACACAUUGUCUAUACUGAUAAAGUUGAUGUCUCGAGUCUCCCAUUCACCGUGGGCUUGCCGGAUAAGCAAGUCAGAAUCUCCCAUAACCAAUAGUUCCUGCACAUCCAGAUCGAUGGCCAUUUUCAAACCCAUGAUACAAGCUUCGUAUUCUGCUGUAUCAUUAGUACAGAAGAACCAAAGUCGGGCUGUCGCAGGGUAAUGAUGUCCAAUAGGUGAGAUGAGGAUUGCCCCUAUCCCAACUCCUUUGAUAUUGACAGCCCCAUCAAAAUACAGUUUCCAUACAGGGUGAUCGUCUGGAACCACUUCCUCUAUUGAGUUGACCUCUUCGACUGGGAAGUAUGUGCUAAGUGGCAUGUACUCAUCAUCAACUGGAUUUUCUGCCAAAUGAUCUGCCAAAGCUUGUGCUUUCAUCGUGGUGCGAGUGACAUAGACAAUAUCAAACUCUUGGAACCACUUCCUCUACUGAGUUGACCUCUUCGUCUGGGAAGUAUGUGCUAAGUGGCAUGUACUCAUCAUCAACUAGACUUUCUGCCAAAUGAUCUGCUAAAGCUUGCGCUUUCAUCGCGGUGCGAGUGACAUAGACAAUGUCAAACUCUGUGAGCAGGGUUUUCCAUUUUGCGAGCCUGCCAGUGGGCAUUGGCUAUUGGAAGAUGUACUUUAAGGGAUCCAUUCUGGAUAUGAGGUAAGUAGUGUAGGCCAAAAGAUAAUGUCUCAACUUCUGAGCGGCCCAAGUUAAGGCACAACAUGUCCUUUCUAAAAGGGUGUCUUAACCUCACAAUUGGUGAACUUCUUACUCAAAUAGUAGAUUGCAUGUUCCUUUUUUGCAUAUUGCAUCAUGUUGACCCAGGACGCAUCCGAAGGAAUUAUCCAUCAUCGAUAGAUACAAAAACAAAGGCCUACCAGGUUCAGGUGGCACCAGUACAGGGGGUUUUGACAAACUUUCUUUGAUCAUGUCAAAAGCUUUUUGGAAAUCGUCCAUCCACUUGAUAGCGGCGUCCUUUUUCAGCAACUUAAUGAUGGGCUCACACCUGGUUGUGAGUUGAGCAAUGAACCUACUGAUGUAGUUCAACCUCUCGAGCAAACUCAUAACUUCCUUUUUAUUCUUCGGGGGUGGCAGAUCUCGAAUGGACUUUAUCGUAGAUGCAUCAAGUUCAAUGCCACUUCGACUGACUAUAAAAUAGAGGAGUUUCCCAGAGGGAACCCCGAAUGCAAACUUUACUGGAUUAAGCUUAAGGUCAUACCUUCAAUGCCGUUCGAAGAAUUUUUUCAAAUCGCACAUGUGAUCAGCCUGUGUUUUUUAUUUUGUGAUGACAUCAUCAACACACACUUCAAUCUCUUUGUGCAUCAUGUCGUGGAAAAUAGUGGUUAUAGCCCUCAUGUAAAUUGCUCCUGCAUUCUUUAAACCAAACGGCAUGACCCUGUGACAAUAAGUACCCCACGAAGUUGUGAAAGCGAUCUUUUCUGCAUCAUCCUCAUCCAUUAGAAUUUGGUGGUACCCAGCAUAGCAAUCCAUGAACGAUUGUAUCUCAUGCUUUGCACAAUUAUCUAAAAGAAUGUGGAUAUCUGGUAAAGGGAAAUUAUCCUUUGGACUUGCUUUGUUCAGGUCCCUGUAAUCAACACAAACUCUGGUCUUUCCAUCCUUCUUCGGUACAGGCACAACAUUCGCCACCCAAGUGGUGUAUCGGACAGAUCUAACCACAUUGGCACUCAAUUGCUUCAUUAUUUCCUCUUUGAUUUUGUCACUCAUGACUGUUUUAAAUUUUCGUUGCUUUUGCUGGACCGGUGGAAAACCAGGAAGCGUAGGGAGCUUAUGAACUACCAGAUUAGAACUUAAACCCGGCAUAUCAUUGUAAGAAUAAGCAAACACAUCUCUAUAUUCAAACAAAAGUAAAUCACGGCAUCUCUGGUUUUUUGCUCGGUGUGAACACUUACCUUUUCUCUAACUUCUUCAGGUCUUUCGAUAUUAAUCGGCUCAGUUUCAUUGAGGUUCGUAUUAGGCUUAUUUUCAAAUUGUUCCAACUCUCUCUUUAUUUCCUCCAUGGCCUCAUCUUCAUUGUAUUCAACCUAUUGAUGCGUUAUUUCGAUAUUAGACAUCUUUUUAAGAUUUGAGCAUGAAACUGCAUGCAUGUCAUGUUAUUAAAGUCGGCAUUAACAAAAUUGAAAUGGAACUCAAAUGACAGGAAUUAGGAAGAGGGAAAUAUAGAAAAUUUAAUAGAAAGCUGAACUGUAUUUUAUUGAAUUCGAAAAGAUAGAAGGGUUAACAUCAAAACAAAACAAUCAUACUGAGAUGUUUCAAUUACAACCCUGAAAGUAACCCAAAAUACAAAAAAAGAAGCUGCAAAAGCAAACUACCAAGACUCCUUCCUUGUGGGGAGAGGAGUUUCUUCCCAGUUGGUGAGCAUGGUGUCUGGGUCAAUUAGUUGCAUAUCGGCACGACUAGUGCCUUCACUGGCCUGGAUCAUAUUCACUUCAGAAAACAUCUGGCUAAGGCCAUGGCAGAUUUCGUCAAUGUUUUCAUACGCCGAGGAAUUUUGACCCUCUUGGAGUCGUGGCUUGACAAAAGAGUAGAAAAUGUGAGGGAUAGGUUGUUGUAGGACCCAUCCAUACUUUUUGCGGUGCGUGGCCUUGUUUUCGUCUUCUUGGGUUGGCCUGAAGCCUAAGCCAAAAGUACCCUGGUUACCAAACGGAGAAAUAGGCUCCGAAAUUCCUUGCAAUGAUGCCCCCAAGCCUUUUCCCGGUUCAUAACCUAGUCUCAUCAUAACUUCAGCCACCAUUACAAAUGUAGAGGAAAGACGGGGAUGUAGAAUGGGCUUUCCUUCCUUGACAUGGUCCACAACAACCACUUCAAAAGCCUCAUAGACGAUGGACUCAGACCCUUCCUUGGCCUCGAUACAGGGGAUUAAUGGGUCUUUAUAAAUGGAAGACUCAUCUUCCCCGUGGACAAUAAUUUCUUGCAUGUCAUGUUCAAAUUUGAGCAUCUGAUGUAAGGUGGAUGGAACAGCUCGGGCCAUAUGGAUCCAUGGCCUUCCAAGGAGAAAGUUAUAAGUAGUGGCCAUGUCCACUACUUGGUAGAUAAUUUCAAAGUCAACUGGACCAAUCUUCAUGGUGAGGUUGAUCUCCCCAAUGGUAUCCCUUGCUGAGCCAUCAAAGGCCCGGAUGCGAACAUUGCUAGGUCGAAUUCUAUCUGUAUUGAUCUUCAUGCUUUGCAAGGUAGAGAGAGGGCAUACAUCUACACUUGAGCCUCCAUCAACCAUGACUUGCUUUAAAUAAUGCCCUUCACAUUUGACCGUCAAGUUCAAAGCCCUAUUGUGCCCGGCUCCUUCCUCAGGAAGUUCAUCAUCAGUAAAGGAGAUUCUGUUCACCUCCUUGAGCCUCCAUCAACCAUGACUCGCUUUAUAUAAUGCCCUUCACAUUUGACCGUCAAGUUUAAAGCCCUAUUGUUCCCGGCUCCUUCCUCGGGAAGUUCAUCAUUAGUGAAGGAGAUUCUGUUCACCUCAAAAAAUCUGUUGGCCAUCUUCUCUAACUGAUUCACUGUGGUCUCUUCUGAGAUAUGUGCCUCGUUCAGGACCUUGAUUAGUACGCGGGCAUGCUCUUUGGAAAUGUAUGAUUAGAUAUAGUAGAGAGAUUUGGGCAGGAGUCUUUCUUAGUUGGUCAAUGAUUGAGUAAUCCUGAACUUUCAUCUUCUUUAAAAACUCUUCUGCCUCUUCCUCAGUGACGGGUUUCUUUAUUGGCGAUUGGCCUUCUCUUAUUUGCUUGGCCUUCCUCAACUCUACUGGAGAGUAACACCUCCCUGAUCGAGUCAGACCUCUAGUUUCCCCCACUUCCUCUAAGAUUUCUUUUCCUUUGUAAGUCAUUAAAGUUUUGUUAUAGUUCCAAGGAACGGUUUUCAUGAUUGUCAUAGGGGGUUGCACAGUGGGUUGGAUUAUGAUCGUCUCUGUUAUACCAUUCGUACCUCCUUGAUUUUGCCUUGUGAUGGGGUGGCCUCCAAGGACAUACAACCUUGGGCUCGAAACAUUAGAGCGAACCUCCAACUUUGGUACCUUAGGCACACAUAAGGUUACCUUUUCUGAGUUCAGGGCACCUUUUACAAUUAAUGGCACAUCUCGGCUUGGACUUACUUCCAAACUUGUUCCUUCCUGAAUUGCUCCCACAGUCAUUUUUUCUCGACCGACCGGCUCGUAUUCUUGAUUGUGGCCGAUCAUCCCCACAAAAUGAACAUCAUCGUGUGCCGGCAACCGAUUGUUUGUCACAUUAGGAGGGUCCUCGCCAUUUGUCACUAUAAUCAAUUCUAUGGCUCUCAUUAAAGUCCAACAGUCAUCAGUGCUAUGUCCUGGAGCACCUGAAUGAUAUUUGCAUCUAGCAUUUGCUUGAAAUCCAUGCGAAUCGCGAUGCAUAUGGUGGGGAGCGAUGGAUCCAAUCACACCCAUUUGCUUCAGAUUAUGGAAUAGACUAGAGUAUGAGCCAGCCAAUGGAGUGAAUUUUUCUGCUGGCCUCUGCUCUCGACCAUAAUCAUGCCUGGCACGAGCGUUGUAAGGUGCCUGAAAAUUUUGCUGUUGAGGUCGGGGAGCACUUGGUGCUGAUGCUCGUACCUGCUGAUUUGGAGGCUGAGCAUAUGAUUGAGCAUUGAACACUGUAUAUUGUGAUGGGCCCAUAGAGUAUUGAGGAAUUGGUGGGGGAUAGUAAUGUUGGGGGUAGCUGGAUUGCCCCUGCUGAACUUGAACAUAAGGGUGUGAUGCCCUUCUUUGAACCUCCCUACAUCCCGAAUCCAUCAUGGACACUUCAUCUCUCUUCUUUCUAUUUGGCAAACCUCCCAAAGCAUUUUGGAUAGCUUGGGUGGCGGCUUUGAGGAUCCCAAUGACAUCAUGGACCCUUUAUCUCUCUUCUUUCUAUUUGACAAACCUAACGACCCGUUUUGGAUAGCUUGAGUGGUGGCUUUCAGAGCAGAUUGGCUUACAAUUCUGCCAGUCUUGAGGCCAUUUUCGACCAUUUCCCCUAUUUUGAUUGUUUCUGCAAAAGGUCUACCCAUCGCGGACAUCAUGUUCUGAAAGUAGUCAGGCUCUUGAGCCUACAGAAAGACAGUGAUCAACUCGUGAUUAUCCAUGGGUGGCUUAACUCUAGCCUCCUGAUCCCUUCACUUGAUGGCAUACUCCUUAAAAAAUUCGGUCGGCUUUUUCUUCAUAUUGGACAAAGAAAUAUGAUCAGGUGCAAUAUCAAUGUUGUACCGAAAUUGUUUGACGAAAUCUCGGGCCAUGUCAUCCUAAACAUGCCAAUGAGAGAUGUAUUUGUCGGUGAACCAUUCAAAAGCUACAUCCAUAAGGCUUUCCCCGAAGUAAGUCAUCAGUAGCUCUUCCUUUCCAUCUGCGCCCCUUUGCUGAUUGCAAUACCUUUUCAAAUGGGCGAUAGGGUCGUCGUGUCCGUCAUAUUUCUCAAAUUUUGGGGUCUUAAACCCUCGUGGCAAAUGGAUGUGAGGGAACAUACAUAGAUCACUGAAUGAAACACUCUUGUUACCGCCUAGUCCUGUAUAUUUUUUAUAUUAUGUUCAAGACUUUUCAUCGUCCUGGCCAUCUCAUUGUGCUCAAUUAACUCCUCGUGGCAAAUGGAUGUGAAGGAACAUGCAUAGAUCACUGAAUGAAAAACUUUUGUGAUCGCCUAGUCCCUGUAUAUUUUUUAUAUUCUGUUCAAGACUUGUCAUUUUCCAGGCCUUCUCAUUGUGCUCAGCCGUCGUGGCGGGCUUUUCAUUCUCCACUAGUGACUCGUACUGUGGAGUCUGAUUGUAUGGAGCCGAGACCCCGAGAGCCAUGUUUGGAGAACAGUACUGGCCAUCAUAAGCAUGAGAUGGUGGCUCAUUGUUUGAACUCAUUACAGGAGGUGGUGGGGGGAUUGUAUAUAUCGGUACGCCAGACACGACGAGAAGGUUGCUCCUGACUGGCGCGACUGGAGGUUGCAUGUUAGAGGCACCGGGAGCGGUAUGGAGACUGUAGUUUGGCACAUACCCUAGUGGUAGAAUGUGAUCGCUCGUUUCAUGGAGCGGUUUUUGAGUAGCCUGAGUAUGGUAGAUGCCCCCUCGAAAGGACCCUGGGGUGGAGGUCGACCGGAGACCCAAGCUUGAUAUAUAUCUGACAGUUGCUCUCUCAAUUUUCUUAUCUCCUCUGACACUUGCUCAACUGACUAACCCUGUGGAUUGUUGCUGACCAACUCGACUUCAUCGCUGUUAUCCAUUACCGCUGCUCCCUUAGAUCUUGUGAAGUAAUUAUGUGUUUCUAGUUUCACCGCAAACCAACCACCUUAAGCUUACUAGUUUAAAAGGAAACAAAUGUGUUAGGGUUAAGCAUUUUGCAGAUAGGAAUCACACGUAGAUGUGUUAUGCUCCUAAAAUGUCACCAUCUAUAACAUGAUUUUGGAAGGCUUCAUGUUUCAUAUCGGCUUAUCAGCUUGUUGUUUAUCAACACUGUUAUUUCCUUCUCUCUUUUUCUUUCAUUUCUUUUUACUUUUCUUUAUUCUGACCCGUUACUUAGAGCCGCUAAAAAAUAUUUGAUCGAACCUUUUGUGGGUUGCCUACGUAUCAUGUCGCCGCAUGAAUCAGAUCAUUGUGUAGUUCAAGGACAUGACCCUUUUUUUAUUUUUUUACAAAACAAACUUUUUUUUUUCAUUUAAGAAUUUUUCUAAACAAAAAACUUUUUCGUUGAUUUUCAAUAUAAUUUUUUGAUACAAGACACAAAAGCAAGAAUUACAUAAAGAUGAACAAGACUAAACCUGAUUCAAACUGACUAGUGACCCCAUUUUUCAAUUUUUAUAUAUUUAUUUAUUUAUUUUUACAUAACAUACAACUCCCCCUUUUUUUGGUUCAUUUCAGAAUUUUUCUUAAACAAAAAUCUUUUUCACUGAUUUUCAAUAUAAUUUUUUAUACAAGACUCAAAAGCAAGAAUUACAUAACGAUGGACAAGACUAAACCUGACUCAAACUGAAUUUUAGGAUAUAAGGCGCAAAAACAAUACUUGAUGCAAGACUCAAAAGCAAGAAUUACAUAACGAUGAACAAGACUAAACCUGACUCAAACUGACUUUUUGGAUAAAAGGAAAAACAACAAGACCCAAAGCACUAGAAGACUCUUACAAAUUCAAAAACAACAAAAGCAUAAUAAAAAAAGAGUGACACCUAAAGAAGACUUUGAUCUCUAUAGUAGAAUCCACCAGCAUCCCUGUAAUCAAUGCUCUUGUUCCUGCGGCUGACCCCCAACAUUGCGGUAUAUCCUUUCCAAGUCCGCGGAUAUAUGGCGGGAAACAUUCAGUGAUACUUUUGCAAACCGCUCGGGCGUCAUUCCCUGGCAACUCCUGCAUGCUCUUGAGGUAUAUGUGGCUACCUCGAGAAUCUUUCCCUUAACGUAUUCUUGAGCCACGUGCAACUCUUGAUUUUUCCGACCACGAGUCUCAGCUAGAUCCAGGGCGUCACGCUAAAUCUUUCCCUUAACGUAUUCCUGAGCCACGUGCAACUCUUGAUUUUGCUGACCACGAGUCUUAGCUCGAUCUAGGGCAUCAGGCUCGUGGUCCAAGGCCAUAUCUUUCUGGCGCGGAGUUUCUAGUAACUCCCCCUCCAACCGACUGAUCAUACUCUGGUAGUGAUGUCUUUCUAUUUCAAACUCUGCAACCUGACUCUCCUUUCUUGACUCAACUCCCUCUAUCUGAUCCUUCAGACCUUGGAUUAACGGAGCAAAACUUCUAUGCUCAUGCUCACGGACUACCCUAAACUGGGAUUCUCCCUCUUCUCGUUGGAGAGCGGUUAGGACUAUGUUCUUCUUUUGAAUUUGGGCUUUGAGUGCCUGCUUCUCUCGUGCCCACUAAGCCUUUUUCCACUCAAAAUCAGGCUGUUGUAUGUCCAUAGCUGUCUCCAGAAUGCCCUUAUCUUCUUGUAGAGUGUCAAUACGAGAUUGGAACUCUUGUGCCACUUCCCUUCUAGUUUCCCUCUGGCCUCGAUUUCCUCCUCCUAAUCAACUGCAUGUCAUAUGGAUCUUUCUGGCCUUUGCUCGGGGAUAGCCUGUUUGUGAAGCCUUGAUUUCCUCCUCCCAAUCAACUGCAUGUCGUAUGGAUCUUUCUGGCCUUUGCUCCGAGAUAGCCUGUUUGUGAAACCAUUCAAGGUAUACAAGGCUUACCUCCCCACGUUCCCGAUCAGCUACCAUCUCGUCCAAAUCAGAAAAUCAACUACCAAACCAAACCUUUUGUGCGUAAGACUCCCUUGGAGGUUCUUCUCCAUUGAAUUCCCAUACGAACUGAUGCAUGUCCUAUAUCGGAGGCCUCCUUUUCUCUUUCCCUAGCUGGCACAUAAUGCGUAGGGGUGCAUAGGGUUGGAAAUCUCUAAAACCCAUGAGUAUGAAGAACGGGCGAUACGUCGACAUAUGCAUGACCCUAGUAUAAGAGAACCAGUAAUAGUACCAAGUGAUUCCAUCAGUGCUUCAAUGAACCAAGUAAUUUUUGCCAGGCCCUCACCCCCUCUGGAUGAUUACAACUUGCGGCCUGUCUGGGUGACAUCCAAUGUAAUUCAGCCAGUCUUCUUUGAAAUUUAUUACUAUUAGAUGAUGAUAAAGGUGCUCUAUGAACCACAUUUGCAGCAAAAUAUUGCAUCACCCAAAGUAAUUUUCACCUUCUUGGCAACAGGUCAAAGCUCGGAAAAUAUCUCCCAAAAUCAUGGGAAGAAUGGUAUGAUCCUCACUACUUUGCAAAUACGAGACUACCGCAACCAAUCAAAUUUUGAUGUGCUAACCACGCUCUGGAAAGACCAUGAUCCAUAGAAAGGAUAUCAUAAACGCGAAGAUUCUCAACUCCUUCCACAACCAAUCGAAUUGUGAUGCGCUCACCACGCUUUGGAACGACCAUGAUCCCUAAAAUGGAUAUCAUAAACACGAAGAUUCUCAACCCCCUCCAAGUGUCGCAACUCAACUGGUUGAUGAAUUUUAUGCCCGAGAUCUUUUCAAACCCUUUCUCGUUCCCAAACAUGUCAUAAAGAUAUUCCAACUAAACACAACCUUCAUUUAAGAAAACCAUUGGAAUUUGCCGGAGGCAUAACUUCUUUACAAAGUUAUUCACCCCAACUCUUCUCGGAGCAGCAGGUUUUUUUCGUAUGAAGGUCUCUCCCCAAUCCAGUGAAACCAUCUAAUUCUUCCAAUGUAGGCGUCAUUUCACAAUCUUUGAACCUGAAGACAUUGUUCACAGGGUACCAAAAACCCAUUAGAGCCUCAAUUAAAUCUCUGUUAGGCUUAAUUCCCAUGAUAUUUGUGAGGAACUUGAGGUGCUUAAACACUUGAUUCCGUUCCCAUAUAGCAAAACUGGCCCACCAAUUAAAGAGACUACUCAUCUGUUAGGCUUAAUUCCUAUGAUGUUUGUGAGGAACUUGAGGUGCUUAAACACUUGAUUCUGUUCCCAUGUAGCAAAACUGGCCCACCAAUUAAAGAGACUACUCGGGGUAUUAUCUCUGCUCAAGAACAUAGGAGGUGUCUCGUCCCUUACCCUUUUCUGACUGCUUCUUUGUGGAGAACUCAUGGCGAUCCUAGGAAGAAAAAAGGGUUAGGACUUAUCUAACCUAUAUGCAAAUUAUGAUCCUUCAUUAUUUUAUUUUUAGGACAUCGAUAUUUUCUUUUUUUUUAAUUAUUACAAUAUAUAUUACCGGACCAAAAAGUUGAGAUGAAAACAAUGGCUUAUUGUUACAAAGAUGGUCCUUUGAUACUUCCGUGAAACGGCAUAAAGGAUGUCUCGGCAAAAACAGCCAAACAUAAUGAAACAAAAAUAAAAAUAAUAAUUUUUACGAAAAAGACCCCUUGCUACUCCUAGAAGGAUUUAAAGGCUGUCUUUAGCAAAACUAGAUAAAAUAACUAUUUCUGCGAAAACAGUCAUUUGAUACAUUUGGAAAGGUUUAAAGCCGCCUUGACGAAAAUGGUCUGACAAAAGGGUAAAAUGGUAAAGGUGGAUAAAUACAAAUAAUUUUUUUUUUCAAAAACGGUCGUUCAGCAUUUUCUAGGAAGAUUUUAAGGCUUCCUUGGCAAAACAGCCAGAUCAUGAGGGUAAGACAAUGACAAAAAUGGGCUUUUACAUAUACAUACAUACAUAUAUAUAUUAUAUGUGGAAUUUAUUCGCUUUUUUUUAGUAUGUGGGUUGAACCCGAUGGAGGUUGCCUACGUGUUUCUCUGGUGAGAAUGAAACCCACACUAUUCGGUAAAACUGGUUCUUUUCCCCUUUUUUUAAAAUAAAAAUUAAUCUUUACAACUCACACCAGACUAUUACAAAAAAUAUAUAUUUCUUAUAUAUAUUAAAAUAGAAGGUUUAUCUGCGCUAAACUACGAGAAUUAUUCUUUUUCUCUUUUUCUUUCUUUUAAUUAUUAAACUGAUUGUUUAAAAGCCGGACGACAAUGCAAAUAAGCCUUCCAAACAAUGUAUCAAGCAACACAUACAUGAACAUGAUGGUCUCGAAGAGGAUACCUGUCUUAUACGGACGCGGCCCCUAUGCCGAGUUUCACUAAGUCAAAUGCACAUAAUGCAAAUAAAGCGAACCUACUAGGGAUAUCCUUCAGUGGGUUUAUUAUUCUAGGUUUAAGUCCUAUUGGAGAAGGUAUCUAGACUAGCUUACUCGAGCGGAUAACUCGAGCCGGGGAGAGUCAGCGUACCUGUAGCAUUGCUUUCUGGCUUUGUUGGUGCCGCUCCCCGCCUAAAACAAGUGUAACUAUAAUCCUACAAGCACCUCGGCUAUCUCAAAGAAAGCCGGUUAUGUCAAGCAAAUGUCCAAUAAUUAAUUUCAAGAAGACUCAGAGGGGGGUACGUAAGAAGACAGUUUAUAUGUACAGUUUAACAAUAUCGAAGCAGUAAAAAAAGCGAACAUGUAGCACAUUAGGCGCAAAUAAAUCAUAGUAUAUAUAAAAUUAAUAAAGCAAAAAUAAAAGUCAACAACGUACAAGAUCGAAUUUUCUCCUCCCCAUCAGAGUCGCCAGCAGUGUAUAUAAAAUUAAUAAAGCAAAAUAAAAUUCAACAACGUACAAGCUCGAAUUUUCUUCUCCCUAGCGGAGUCGCCAGAGCUGUCACACCCUUUUAUCUCGACCCCACAAAAGAAUACAGAUAAGUCAUGGACUUGUGGGUUAAAGGGUUUUUCCAAUUAAAGUGACAAUUUUGAAAUAUGAAUUAUUUUAUUAUUCAGAGUCGCCACUUGGAAUGGGUUUCGGUGUUCCAAAUCACCUUUUAUUUAGAUCCCUAGUCAAAGGAAAGUUGACUCUAUUUUUAUCGGUCUGCGAAAACAAAGUUCAGGUAAGGAAUUUUGUUGACCGGAGAGAAGGUACAAGGGAUUCCCCGAGUCCUGUGGUUCUAGCACGGUCGCUUUAUUGACUCAAAAAAUUUGGCUUAAAUUAAUUUCGAACAAACUGUGAUUUAUAUAACUUUUCAUGUUUUACCUAUCCGCUUAUUGACUCAAAAAAUUUGGCUUAAAUUAAUUUCGAACAAACUGUGAUUUAUAUAACUUUUCAUGUUAUACCUAUCCGCUUUUAUUUCUUAUUUAUUAGGAAAAAAUAGAGAAUAUUUUUGGAUAAUAAUAAUUCAUGAUCACACUAUGCAAGCGAAUGCAUGACUGGCGAAAUUUAUUAUUUAGUCACAACAGCGCUACACAAGCGAAUCCACAGUCAUGACAAAUAAUUAUUAGUGCGUUAUUUACUAUUGAAAAAUUACUACAAUUGUGCUCUUGAAGAAGACUUAAUUUUUUAGAAAUUUAUUAAAUAUCUCUACCGUGCUACGCGAAGCGAAUACGCGAUUUUUAGCAAAGAAUUAGCUAAAUUUAAAAAUUGAAUAACGGAUAUGGUUUGAAAUUUAUUAAAUAUCUCUAACGCGCUACGCGAAGCGAAUCCGCGAUUUUUAGCAAAGAAUUAGCUAAAUUUAAAAAUUGAAUGGAUAUAGUAUGAUAUUAAAAAUUAAUUAUUUAAUGUUGAACAUCACGCUACGCAAGCGAUUCCGAGAAUAAAAAGAUUAAAGUGCACCUACUAAUUUCUUAGCGCUUAAAUUAGUUAUAAGAGAAGCUAAUUUAUAAGUUAUAAGUUAUUUAGUGAAAUAAAAAUUGACUUUUUAUUAAUUCAUUUCGAUUAAAUGAGAUAUAUAUAUAUAUAUAUAUAUUGCAUUAGUUUGUUAUUUGAAAGAAUGGACAAUCUUCUAAAAAAUGAGCCGAUUUUUAUUAGUAAUGGCAACUUUAAAGGGGAAUGGGCCAGCUAUUUGGGCAUUUGAACUGUUGGCCCGUUUGGGCCAGCCCUUUAGCUAACAGAAUGGGUCAUCUAUGUUAUUAACUUAAACAAAUGGAUCAGGUGCUACAUCUUAUUGGUGUUGUGCCGCUGGAUAGUAUUUAGCAUGAAAAUGAUUGCAUGAAAAUAAUUUCUUGAACCAAAACCUAAACUCAUACUACUAACGAUCCAAAACCUUAAUUUUUUAAAACUUAAACAUUUGUUUUUUUGUUUUUACAAAGGAAAAUUAAGUCAUAAAAAGAAAGAUACCCUUUUGGUUUAACGUAUAAACAUUUAUAAAGCACAUGUUAGAACUUAAUUUGAUAACUUACUAUCUGACAGGAAUUCCUUAAAAUAUAUAGAAAAAUAUUCUUUCUAAACAAACUUAAUUUUACUACUAAAUUCACUCUAACAUAAAUACUAACUCCACAUUGAUAUACAACUUUUCAAGCUAAAACAUAUAUUUUACUACUAAAUUCAUUCUAACAUAAAUACUAAUUCCACAUUUAUAUACAACUUUUCAGGUUAAAAUAUAUUUGAACAAACUUUUUAAAAGAUAUUAAUACUAAAAAGGAACUUCUAAAUACUCAUUCUUAUAUUCGAACUAGAGAACAAAUGAAUAAAUAAAGAAAUGCGUUAUCUACUUAAAUACUUUAACACGUGUUGGAACUUAUUUUCCAAGAACUCUGUUAACGCAAAUGGAAAUAUAAGGGAAAAAAAUUUGUGUCAAACUUAUAGAAAAGAGAGAGGAAGAAAAACCUGAAAAGAAAACUAGAGUAAAACUAGUACAAAUUCAUAAUCACAACAAAAAACAGGAACUUGGGCCAAAGAGUGUCAAUACAACUCUCUUAAGCUUAAACUCUAACAUACGCACAUUUUUGACUUAAACUCAAAAUUUAUCUAAGCUGCCAAUUACAUAUUCACAUGCUCGAGCCAUAGAUAAAAAAGUUAAAACGCUUAAGCAGCCUCAUAGAAUGAAUUCAAUUCUAUUCCAGCAAUCUAACAGGUUCAAUCUUCAACUAUUGCUUAGAAAAAAUCUGCAUUACAAAGAUUCAAGAGUUACCUGUAUUGCAGAAUAAUAAACACAACAAUGAAUAAUGGAAGCUCGAGAACAAAAGCAGCAACAGCAGGGAACAACAGUAACAACAGCAAAACAAACAACCAAUUCGUGUUGGAGCAACAAUUUCAGCUUAAAGGAGCGCAUCAGCUGCAGAUUUUACUCUCUAAGUUGUGUCUUUUGGGUGUAAAAAAAAACAAGCUGGAGUAAUAGCAAAACAGCAACAAGGAUAAACACUUUAAUGUUGAAACAGCCCCGAAAACCAAUAAAGUGACUUAAGACUAGUAGCUAAACAAUCUCACAAAUUACCUAAGGGAUCGUUCAUUUUCUCAAAGGUUUGCUCUAAAUAAAACACCCCUAGUUCUGAAAUUUCAGCUUGCUAUAUAUAUUAAGUUGCUGAUUUUUCUAUGAAGACAUGUUUGUUUUUUUUCUUUAGAGUGUAAGAAGAUGUUCAAAAGCUAUGUGUGUUAGAAUGUAAGAUGAGUCCCCUUUCAAGUGAGGAAAGACCUCUUCCUUUACAGGAAAGGAGAGGGGUUGAAUUUAUUUCCUUGAAUCUGUCCCAAGAAUGGGUUGUCCACCUAAAAUCGGCCCCAACUAUUCAAAGGACAGAUUUUUUGGUAAAAAAUCUGUCUAAAAGAUAAUUUUUCACCAACUAUGAAUAGUGUUAAGAGCAGUGUACUCCAAACAGCCCUUUGAACAGUAAAAUCUACCAAAUGAGUACCUUAUACUCGAGUAUCUUCAACUCUUAUCAUGACUGAAAGUUAAGCUAACAUACUCCACAUUCAAACUAACUAAAUUAUAGAAGUACCCUAUACUCGAGUAUCUUCAGCUUUUGUCAUGACUGAAGGUUAAGCUAACAUACUCCACAUUCAAACUUACCAAAUUAUAGACUAGUACAACAAAAACAAGACUUAAAAGGUAACCGAACCAAGUAUUCGAACAAACUAGAUUGAAAUUAAUUUGACUUAUACAAACUAACACGGAUUAACAACCAAAUUUCGCAAACUAUCACUUGAAACAGAAAUUAAACGAACAUUGUUAACUAUUACGAUUAAUAACAACUAAAUAUACAACUAACUAUAUAAAUAAUUGAACCAAUCUUUUGGUUUCUUCAUGAAAUCAACACAAAGACUCAGCUAUUCGACCGGCCAGGUCUACAAACUGAAAGAUUCAGACUUAACUACUCGAUACAAAAUGGUCGACCGACUAGGUCGAAGGAAUAAAAAUAAGAACUAACAAACAAAUAAACAAAAAGGUUGAACGUCUAGGUCGAAGGACUGAAUGCUCAAACUUAAACAAAUCCACACAAAAUAAUCGACUGGCUAGGUGGAAGAACAGAAAAUCAGAAUCAACAUGCGAUAACAAACUACUCGACCGGCUACGUCGAAGAACUGAAAUUCACGUUUAUAAAGUUGAAAUGUAAAUAAAAUAAUAGCUAUUGCACAUAAAUAACGAAAUAUUAACAAAAACUAACCUUAGAACUAAUACUAAAACAAAAACCAAAAAAUAAAAAUAAAAAUCAGAAAAGAUAAAAUAGAGAAAGAAAAUUGGUGUUUUACCGUACAUAGGGAUUUGAUGCAAAAUCGAGCGACGAGACGGAU